GCGACUCGUGGCAAACUGGUUCGGCAAACUGAUUCCCUGGAUUGGGAACUUUCUGGCGCUGUGCCCUUUACCCCAGGGAUGGGAAGUUUUCUAUGGCUCCGGAGAACUGUGGUCCUCCCACGUGGCUGGUGCUGACGAGUAAUUACAAGGCUAAUGGCAGUUUACAGCUACUUUGGGGCUUUCUCCAAGAACACAGGCUGGCCUGUUUGGUGGUGUCUCUUGAGUCUCCGGAGAAUUCAGGCUCUUUCAGUUUCAGAGAGCAUCUGAGGCCCGGCAAUGUGUGCAUGUGGCAGAUUGAGAGUCUACGGAAUCCUGAGAAGCCACUGUGUAAAGCUGUGAAGAUAAAGCCUGGGUUGUGAUGGAGACCCCAAGAUGUCUGAGAUGCCAUCAUCAUCGUACAUCUUCCAAGGAGGGCUAAAUACAGAGUGGAACCAGCCCAAGGAUCCACUUUGCAAGCAGCAAAGCUGGAAGGACAGAGUUAGGCCUUGUAGCUGAAGUCCCAAGUACCAGAAAUGGCACUAAAAGAUUUGUUAUUUUCUCUUCUGGAUUUUAGUAAUGCUUUGGUCUGAUCUUUAAUCACCUUUUCUCCCUUUUGGCAUAGGAACGUCUACUCAGUCCCAUUGUAUGCUGGAAGUAUAUAAUCUGUUUUUGUUUUUGUUUUUUUGUGUUGUUCAGUAUAUGUUCAAAGAUUGCCAUGAGUCUCAGAAGAAACUCUGGACUUUUGAGCAGUGUUGGUGUUAUAAAACAGUACGAGAGCUUUGAAUGGUGAACUUAAAUGUGUUUUGCAGCAUGAGCCAUGAACCUAUGGAGCCCAAGGGACAAGUGUUGUGAUGGGAAUAUGAAUGGCAACAUAGUCUCAUGGGUUUGAAUACUUGGUCCUUAGCUAGUGGAGUGUCUAGGAAAGUUAUAGAACCUUCAGGAAAGUUAUGGAGCCUUGCUGGAGAAAAUAAAUCACAAGGGGCAGACCUUAGGGUUUUAUAGGCUGGUUCCACUUGCUGUUCUCUAUCUACUUUUUGAAUGCAGAUGAUCAGCCAUGCUUUCUCUGCCUGUUGUCAUGUCUUCCCUACCACAACGGACUCUAUCCUUCUGGAACUUUAGUUCAAAAUAAACCUUUUC
Molecule: long non-coding RNA, 1116 nt
Organism: Psammomys obesus (fat sand rat)
Lineage: Eukaryota; Metazoa; Chordata; Mammalia; Rodentia; Muridae
Exons: 3
Source: RefSeq, a predicted model, not a curated record